RNAcentral lists this transfer RNA (87 nucleotides) under Prevotella sp. Its description in RNAcentral is "tRNA-Ser". It matches the Rfam family "tRNA". From Rfam's summary of the family: Transfer RNA (tRNA) molecules are approximately 80 nucleotides in length. Their secondary structure includes four short double-helical elements and three loops (D, anti-codon, and T loops). The record is from RNAcentral. Lineage: Bacteria; Pseudomonadati; Bacteroidota; Bacteroidia; Bacteroidales; Prevotellaceae.
GGAGGGUUGGCUGAGUGGUCUAAAGCUCCUCAUUGCUAACGAGGCGAGCGUCAAUGCGUUCCGCAGGUUCGAAUCCUGCACCCUCCG